RNAcentral lists this ribosomal RNA (205 nucleotides) under Hypoponera sp. MI15.01. RNAcentral's name for it is "partial large subunit ribosomal RNA". The record is from RNAcentral. Lineage: Eukaryota; Metazoa; Arthropoda; Insecta; Hymenoptera; Formicidae.
GAAUUUUAUAUUUAUUUAGAUUUAUAUAAUUAUAAUAAAUAUUUUAUUGGGAGGAUGAUUAAAUUUAGGUAACUUUAAUUUUGAAAUACAUUAAUUAAUGAUGAAUUAAAUUAAAAAUGAAUAAUUAAUAAUUAAUAAAGAAUUAAUUACCUUAGGGAUAACAGCAUAAUAUUUUUUAGUAGUUCAUAUAUAAAGAAUUGUUUAU